UACGUAGGGGGCAAGCGUUGUCCGGAAUCAUUGGGCGUAAAGGGCGCGUAGGCGGGCUUAUAAGUCUGAUGUGAAAGUGCGGAGCUUAACUCCGUAAAGCAUUGGAAACUGUAAGUCUUGAGGACAGGAGAGGAAAGUGGAAUUCCUAGUGUAGCGGUGAAAUGCGUAGAUAUUAGGAGGAACACCAGUGGCGAAGGCGACUUUCUGGACUGUAACUGACGCUGAGGCGCGAAAGCGUGGGGAGCGAACAGGAUUAGAUACCCUGGUAGUCCACGCCGUAAACGAUGAAUGCUAGGUGUAGAGGGUAUCGACCCCUUCUGUGCCGCAGUUAACACAAUAAGCAUUCCGCCUGGGGAGUACGGCCGCAAGGUUGAA
RNAcentral lists this ribosomal RNA (375 nucleotides) under uncultured bacterium. RNAcentral's name for it is "bacterial SSU rRNA". It matches the Rfam family "Bacterial small subunit ribosomal RNA", at positions 524 to 898 of the family's 1533-position model. The record is from RNAcentral.